CGUAUCUGUUCAACUUUGAAAAAUGAUAGAUGGAUUACUUGUUUUUUUACUAUUCAGUAGGAUACAUUUAUUUUAAGCGAUAUGCCACUUGUUGCCACUGACGUUCGUGACGCAGAAACUAGAAAUAUUAGUUUUAUUAACUAUUAGUGGUACAGGCGAACGCUGUGGUCGCCAAUGUCAAUCUACCAAUAGCAUAGUACGAUACUGACAUACGAAUAUUACAAGCCUAUCAGAUUUUGCUAUAAGAAUCAGCUGUUGGACAACAACAUACACACUUUUUUUUUUUUUUUUUUUUUUUUUAGCAGCCGUCCGAUAUGGCUACCUGAGUAUGGACAUCGCCGAAGAGGAUUGGUUUUGUGGGUGCCUGUUAACUAACUUAAAAUUGGCAGGCUGUAUUGACAAGAUGGCGGUAGGCUAUGUGCAGUAUAGAACUUUUGACGUAAGUGGCAGUCUUACAAAUUAAGUAGCAGUGCUUAACCUUAUGUCAGUGUUGCAUGCAUGAAAAGAGACAUUGUAAAAAAGAUUUAAUUAAAACAUUUAAUUAACAGAUAUUUGAUAACCAAAUAAACAGAGCUAAUAGCUCAAGAGGUGAACAUCAUUCAGGAGAAUGCCACUCUAGUCAUUGCUUUACCUGUUCUCACACAUUGAGCACUGGCAUAGGUCUGUACAUGGCAGAUCUUUUGCAUGUACAUCUACCCUUAGUACACUUUUUUUGUAUCCACAGUGUACAAGUGCCAGUAUAGCCUCUGGAGCUGGUGGCAGUGACAUCCACUACACUUCGUAGCCAUCUCCAGCCAACUUGCACCCAUGGCUUCGGCGGUGUACUGCAACCUGAUCACUUGCCUGCUGAAUAUGUUUGUGCAAGCAGUCUUUAUUUGGAGGUGAAGCCUGUCAGUGCUUCACAAAGGUCUGAAGAUGGGGGUGAAGCUAACUCCUAGGUCUUGGAACAUACGCAAGUACUCUACAAACUAGUUUCUUAAAGCAACACCAAAGUUUUUUUUGUACCUUAAUAUAAUGCAACACUGUAAACAAACACUUGUGUCCAACGUGAAAUGUGGAAUAUUUGGGUAAUUUUUAGGCUUUUGAACUAUUUACUCAACUUGAUGGAAAAAAAAGGCUGUAGGCUAAAUUAAACAAGUAUGGGUGUAGAAGUAACGUUUACAGCAUAAUGUAUGAUGGUUGUUCUGUUUCUUUGCACUAACACUAAUAAACGUUUUCCAUACAUUUUG
Molecule: long non-coding RNA, 1229 nt
Organism: Alosa sapidissima (American shad)
Lineage: Eukaryota; Metazoa; Chordata; Actinopteri; Clupeiformes; Clupeidae
Exons: 3
Source: RefSeq, a predicted model, not a curated record